AUCUACUUAUUAUAAUUAGUAAGUUUAACUUCCAAUUAAAAAGUCCUUUUAGGAGUAGAUU
This 61-nucleotide transfer RNA is filed under the name Falcolipeurus marginalis. Its description in RNAcentral is "tRNA-Gly". The record is from RNAcentral. Lineage: Eukaryota; Metazoa; Arthropoda; Insecta; Psocodea; Philopteridae.